AAGGGUCCAGGUUUUUUUCUU
This 21-nucleotide microRNA is filed under the name Anolis carolinensis (green anole). RNAcentral describes it as "aca-miR-5412-5p". The record is from miRBase by way of RNAcentral. Lineage: Eukaryota; Metazoa; Chordata; Lepidosauria; Squamata; Anolidae.